Molecule: unclassified non-coding RNA, 366 nt
Filed under: uncultured fungus
Lineage: Eukaryota; Fungi
Description: partial contains 5.8S ribosomal RNA, internal transcribed spacer 2, and large subunit ribosomal RNA
Source: RNAcentral
AACGCAUAUUGCACUCCCUGGUAUUCCGGGGAGUAUGCCUGUUUCAGUAUCACGAACAAUACCUCAGGCCAAAAGUUUUUUUGGACCCUGGAUCUAGGCUGUGAAGCUUCUUCUGCAGCCGGCCUCGAACGAGUUUUUCUGGGUCGGCCAGCCUGAAACGCAUCCCACCGCGGCGGGUUCUUUCAAGGGGAAAGAAAGGCGUGAUAGUUUGACCUCGGAGUCGAUCUUUUCGCCGAAGAAAAACCCUUUCUCGCUCGCGGCGAUUAGCAGGACCGACGAAAGGCCUACCGGAGGAGAACCUCCCCCGGUCUGUCUUUUGCUCUUCAACUUGAUCUGAAAUCAGGUAGGAGUACCCGCUGAACUUAA